GCCUGAGCCGGGCUGGGGCUCCCCAAACAGAGUGAUUGAGGGCGGCCGCCUCCACGCAGGUUCCCUCCUGGUUCUCGUGUCUCCCGGAAUCGUUCUCCGCUCAGCCCGUGGAUCUGUGCAUACGCUCGGACUGGAUCCCAUCCUCACUCCCUUGUACAACUGGAAAACUCCUAUUCAUCCAUCAGUGCAUCUGCCGAGCUCAGCUUUGUAAUGGAGAAUGAGCAGAGCUUCGAGAAGUCUCAACCCAGGGCCAUCCUGCUUGGUCUUCAAAGGAAGCACAUUCUAACUUGGCUGAGAGUUCUACGCCCCAGGACAUGGGAAUUAACACCGAAUGCAGUCCAUCCUCCUUUUCCAAGAACUGUACAAUCUGGUCCUAGAGGUGCCUGCUCUUUGCAACACCCCCCCACCACCCCCACCAAGCUCACAUUGCCUGUAACCUAUAACCGUUAUACCUCACCUACUUCCCCGCGCCUGUAAUUCCUGCCUUCCCAUGUAAUCUUUUGUCCUUCUACCCAAUAUAGGCAGCUGGUUUAUGGGGAGGAGUAGAGCAGAUUUUUGUGGGUGACCCGCUGUUCUUGCAUACUGCUGGCACUAUUGGAAUAAAUGCUCGA
This is a long non-coding RNA of Myotis myotis, 611 nucleotides long. RefSeq lists it as uncharacterized. The transcript has 4 exons. Lineage: Eukaryota; Metazoa; Chordata; Mammalia; Chiroptera; Vespertilionidae. The record is from RefSeq and is a predicted model, not a curated record.